GAAAAUAUUUAUAAAAGUUGCGAAAAAGGACAUCGAGUGUCGUUUAGACGCAAAACUUUAAGUGCGAUUUCCCGGGGUUCCAUAACUCCAAAAAUUAAUCCGUUCGGGUUUAUGGAAUCCUUGAAUUACCCUCUUUCAUAAGAAAUUUUCAAAAACGCAAUCCGAUGUUGAGAUCUCGAGACACCCGAUUUUGUGUGUUUUGGGCAAUUAAAGGAGGAAAAAAACCCAUGUGGACCCACAUGACUUGCAUGGGAGAAAAAUCCCCAGCCAAUUGCUUCUCCUCUUGGUCUUAUCCACGUGAUCUUCUCCUCAUCCUCACUCUUUUGCUUGCACACUUCAAUUUGUGAGUACAUUGCUUGGUUGGAGGCAUGGCCCAAACUUGUAUGUGAGUGUGUGUGUUUACUAUAAAAUGAGGCUUAGACACCUUCAUUUCUCACUCACAAAAUCUGCCAUCAUCUUCCUCUUCUUCCCCUCUCUCUCUCUCUCUCUCAAUCUUGAUCUCUAUAUCCCUUUCUAUCUCCCUUAGAUUGAAUAACCACCAUUUCCACCACCUACUGUUGUCACAAGCUCCUCCGUCCAGCACCAAUCUUGCACCAUCACUACCAUAUUGGUGCCACCGUAUGUCCUCCAUUGCUAAGAUUAUUAUUAUUAUUAUUAUUAUUAUUAUUAUUAUUUUCCUAUGUUGUUCGAACUCACUAGGGAAGCAAGGCAAAUUCAUGUGUUUUCUUUUUUUAAAACCUCAUGCACAUAUGUGAUGUAUUUUCGAUCAGUAGCCAAAAGAAAGAAGCCAUUCAUUUCUUUUAUUAGCCAUACAUACAAAUUGUUUGUUUGAUCAGUAAAAUCUGAAAAUAAAGCUCAAACUUCCAUUUAUUUUAUUGAAAACAAACCCUCAAGUUGUGUUUAGUUUACAAAAGUAGCCCAUUCUUAUUUCUUAAUUUACAAACAACAUAUAUAUUUAUAUAUGUAAAUACGAAAGAAACAUAUAUACAUAUUUUUCUUUUUUCCUUUUUCUUUUCCAAACUUCCAUUUCAAUUAACUACAUAUAGUCCUUAUAGUAAUUCAAAAUAAUUAAAAGCCCCCUCCAUGGAAUUUCAUCGCAAAAUAAGUCCAAGAUGCAAACUUGGAAUUUAUAUAAUUCAUUUUAGCCAUUAAUUUGAAAAGUAUUGACAAACAUAACACCAUUUGAUUUAUUAAAUUAGUAAAUGGACCCCAUACCUUGGUUAAUUACCAAACUACCCUCCAAAUAUUAAUUAUAUUAAUAUUUCCUUAGGAAACUAAAUUUUCUCGGAGAUUCAUAUUCACGGAAAUACUACUCGACCUCCUCGCAUCCAUUCCAGAACACUAAUCGUCUAUCGAACGUUAAGGUGAGUGCAUAGUUACUUUCAGCUUACACAUAGAUAUGAAGUAUUUUAUAUAAAUUACGUGCUAUAUGUGCAUAUUAUCUGAAUACUUGCUAUCUAUGCUAGAUGAACAUUGUUAUACAUGUUUUCAAUGAUUUAAACUGUAUAUGUAUUUUAUAUCUACGAAAAUGUUGGGGUAAAACAUGGGUAGAUGUAAUAGCUGAUGUGUGAUAAAAUGAUGAGAGGCCUCGAUGUUGAUGUUGUUGUUUCUGUCAUCUAGCGGAGUAUGGAUGACGACCACGGACUCUUCUAGACAGUCCAGUGGAACACUAGCAGGCUCGCAACCUGUAGGUGUUUGUGAACGACGUGUUCACCGGUGUACUCCAUCCCCCACAUGGUUGCCUUUAGGACAUUUAUUGCUGAGGAAUCCCCUUAGCAGUAGUGUCCGUCCCGAUGAUGAUCCUUAGGCUAGGUCCCUUAUGAUAGGUGUUUAGGGACGUAAAGUGAGGAUAACGGGAACGGGUAAUCGGGUUAUUGUUGAUUGAAUUAAUAAACUUAUUUAUUGUGGGUUGAAAACCCUAUGUGCUCACCAGGCUCCCAAGCCUGACCCACUCAGUUUUAUGUAUUACAGGUAGUGGCGCAUGAGCAUAGGUGUGAUGUUUUGGACGAGGGAUUACGGAUAUAGGCCUGUAGAUAUGAAAUAAUGUAGUAAGGCUUAUAUUGUACUGUUUAUGCUUUUGAUCUGUACGAACAUGACAUCCCGAGUCUUUUAAUGAAAUACAUUUCUAUGGAAAUGCUUUUGAUAAAUCUUUAUCAUAUUUUUGUUUUGGGACAAAUUCCGCAACACUUUCAUUUAAAAUGUAACUCUGAUUUUUAAACAAAGCAUAAACAAACCGGUCUUUU
RNAcentral lists this long non-coding RNA (2243 nucleotides) under Lactuca sativa (garden lettuce). RNAcentral describes it as "long non-coding RNA (LSAT_LNC005810)". Lineage: Eukaryota; Viridiplantae; Streptophyta; Magnoliopsida; Asterales; Asteraceae. The record is from RNAcentral.